RNAcentral lists this ribosomal RNA (253 nucleotides) under uncultured bacterium. RNAcentral's name for it is "partial 16S ribosomal RNA". It matches the Rfam family "Bacterial small subunit ribosomal RNA", at positions 524 to 776 of the family's 1533-position model. The record is from RNAcentral.
UACAGAGGUCCCAAGCGUUGUUCGGAUUCACUGGGCGUAAAGGGUGCGUAGGUGGCGGGGUAAGUCUGAUGUGAAAGCUUCGAGCUCAACUCGAAAAUGGCAUUGGAUACUAUUCUGCUGGAGGUUUGGAGGGGGGACUGGAAUUCUCGGUGUAGCAGUGAAAUGCGUAGAUAACGAGAGGAACACCGGUGGCGAAGGCGAGUCCCUGGACAGUUCCUGACACUGAGGCACGAAGGCCAGGGGAGCAAACGGG